RNAcentral lists this ribosomal RNA (501 nucleotides) under uncultured bacterium. Its description in RNAcentral is "partial 16S ribosomal RNA". It matches the Rfam family "Bacterial small subunit ribosomal RNA", at positions 29 to 523 of the family's 1533-position model. The record is from RNAcentral.
AUUGAACGCUGGCGGCGUGCUUAACACAUGCAAGUCGAGCGGUAACAGGUGUAGCAAUACAUGCUGACGAGCGGCGAACGGGUGAGUAAUGCUUCGGAAUCUUCCUCGUAGUGGGGAAUAGCCUGGGGAAACUCAGGCUAAUACCGCAUACGAACUACGGUUGAAAGCAGGGGCUCGCAAGACCUUGCGCUAUGAGAUGAGCCGAAGUCGGAUUAGCUAGUUGGUGGGGUAAAGGCUCAACAAGGCGACGAGCCGUAGCUGGUCUGAGAGGAAGGACGGGCCCACUGGGAAUGAGCAACGGCCCAGACUCCUACGGGAGGCAGCAGUGGUGAAUAUUGGACAAUGGGGGCAACCCUGAUCCAGCGACGCCGCGUGUGUGAAGAAGGCCUGCGGGUUGUAAAGCACUUUUAGUGGGGAGGAAAAAAGCAGACCUAACACGUCUGAAAUUGACUUAACCCAAAGAAAAAGCACCGGCUAACUCUGUGCCAGCAGCCGCAGUAA